GUUUUCUCUUAUGCCACAAUCCCAGUUUUCGGAGAAGAAUAUAGCUAUGUCAAAACUGUUGAUUUUGAGAAAAUGAAUCUACCGAAGGAAAAGGUAACACACUUUCAACUUUAUUGGCAAGAUGUUGUUAGUGGGUCCAAUGCAACCUCUGUCACAGUGAUUCAACCAGUGAAUAACUCGUUACCAUUUUUUGGUAUGGUAAAUAUAAUUGAUAACUCAUUAACCGUUGGGCCAAAUUUGAGCUCAAAAACAGUUGGAAAGGCCCAAGGGCUUUAUGCAUCUACGGGACAAAAAGAAUCUUCAUUAUUGAUGGUUAUGAAUUUUGCAUUUACUGAUGGCAAAUACAAUGGUAGCACAUUCACCGUGGUAGGACGAAAUAAUGUAAAUGCUGAGGUGAGGGAAAUGCCGAUAAUCGGUGGCAGUGGGCUUUUCCGAUUUGCUAGAGGUUAUGCUUUAGCAUCAACUUACUCAUCCAACGACAAAGGAGAUGCCACUAUUGAAUACAAUUGUUAUGUCAUACAUUAUUGAUGUUUUUUCUUUUUCUUUUUUUAAUUUUUUGUGUGGAGUUUUGAUUCACAAUAGUGAUAUACUUAAAUAAUUGUGUGUUCCCACCAUAGGUAAGUGGGAUUCUCUAGUUUUGUUUAAUUUGAAUAAAUUAGGUGGCUUUUACUUCACCUAAUUGAAUGUAAGCAUACUUUAAUAAAAUAAAAUAAAAUGAUUAUUUAUGUGGAUUAAUUACUUUCUUGAAAUUUGUUAAACCAUACUUUACUCUAUUAUAAAAAAGUUGGAGAUAAGUAAAUUUAAAAGCUUAUAUCAACAAAGUUGAAGUGGCAUCACUUUUCUAUUCAACUUAUCUAGGCUUUGUUUGAUAAAAAUGACAUAAUUCUUUGAUUUCACAUGACCCAAAUUAUCUUAACCAAACUAAAAUAUAUUCAACUUUCACUAAUUUUUAGUCAUAUAUAAUGAUAAUGAAGUUAGAAAAAGCUCAAAAAUUUGUGGAGCAUUCCCAUUUACAAAAAUGUUUUUAAGAAAUGUUUUGAUGAAAAUUAUAAAUUUUAUUUACCUUGAUAUACAAGCUAACUUUUUCCUUUGUUUGACCUAAGAUAUCAUUUAAUUGAACAUAUUUCAAAAGAAGUUCAUUUAUUGCACCUCAUUGUUUACAUAUAACUCCACAUGAUGACUAGCUGCCUCCACCUCCAUUGGCCAUUCGGUAUAUAUUAUAAUAUUACCACAAAUUUUAAUAUUAUGAUGAUACAUGCAUAAACUUAAAUUCUAACAUUUAUUUAUUUAUUUAUUCUUUGUUAGUUUAUUUUUAUAGUUGGAGAUAUGAGUUUCAGACUAGUUCGAUUAGCAUGCACGUCUUAGCUCGGUAUAGUCAUCAUCUUGAUUGACUUACAACAUAUCAGGUAGUAAAAGUGUGAUUCAUUUCUUAUACUUGUUUCUCUAAACAAAUUCUAAAUCACUUAUUAUAUCUAACAUUUCUUUGGUACAGAUUAUAUGGCAACCUUAUGUUGAUGACAUGAAUGUUGGUCUUCCUGAUUAUUGUACUGCUGGGAAAUAUAUAUAGUGCACUAUCUCACCUUUGAUAUGUUUCCACAUAAUUGAAUGGUAUAGACCUGAUCGAGUAUUGCUGCAGUUUGGAUUUCAUCAAAGGAUUCCUCAGCCAUGUAAUAAUGAGUCAAUCUUACACAAAUGUGAUUUGAGAGGUAUACAUGAUGUUGAUUAGACUACUUGAUACGGAGACUACAUUCAAUGUUGGAUCUCUAGGCGUGAGCAUAUUGCUAGAGGCGAAAUGGUUUUAGGUUCAUUGGGGUAUCAUGAUCCAUACAUGGUGUGGUAUCGCUCCAUUACUAUUCGAUUUCUUACUCGAACUAGGUCCUUCCAUGAGGUACUGGUAAUUUUCAUGUUUUAUAUUUUUAUUAAAGUUUAUUUUAUUUUUAUAAGAAUUUAAUUUAUCUCCUAUUUGACUUACAGACUACCAGCAUACACCAGAUAUAUGAUAUUGCACCUCUAGAUGAUUUCCACAUUCGCAGACUAUGUAUGUAUUAGAGGCCAUACAUGAAAUGGAUCACUUAGAUGCUCCAUUUAAUGUUGAUGCUACUACACAGCUCCAACCUCGAUCAGGAGAUGUACGACCUACACGACAAGGGCCUCGUACAAGGGAGAUUAGGCAUACACCGGUUGUUACCUGAGUGCAACCAUUGAAUGACAUUAGUCCACCACCUCAUCAGCAGCCAAUAUCAUCCAUUACUCAAUCAAGAAGUGUAUGAACUAGAAGGGAAUGGGCUCACAUGAGAGGUAGUCUACCACCUCAUCAGCAGCCGAUAUCAUCCAUUACUCGAUCAGGAGGUGUAUGAACUAGAAAAGGAGCAGCUCAUACGAGAAGGACUACGCAUACAUUUGUUCUUGGAGAUGCAUCAUCGACUGACAUUAGCCCGCCACCUGUUGAGGAGACCCUUAUUACACCUAUGGAGGUGCCAUCCACACCACCCAUAGUAUUACUUGUUGCGUCAUCACCACAACCGAUAGAGGCUACAUUGGUUAAUGAGGAGUUAGUUCAUAUAGCAAAUGAUGAUAAGUGAGGAUAAAAGAAUGAUCGUGGUCGAGGACGUGGUAGGAGACGUGGUCGUGGAGUUCAUGAAGGGAUACAUGUUAGCCCCAUAGAGCCAAUAGUGGAACAUGCAUAUCAUGGACGUCCACAACGAACAAUAAAGGCUCAUUCAUGCAGUACACAUUGAGGACGUUACUACAUAUGACUUGUAUUUUGGAUACUAUUAGUAUUUUGCAUAUCAUUAUUUUGGACAAAUACUUAAGAUGUAUAUUUAUACUUGUUAUAUUUUGGAUUAACUAACUUUUUAUUAACGCAAGUUCUAUUGUAUUCUAUCUAUUUUGGACUUAUUUUACACAAAAUAGUAUUGUUACUAUUUUGGAAAGGUGCUGAUUUAAUUGACAUUUGGUUUACUUGUUUUCAUUGGUUUUGGAUUGAAUGUCAAAAUAUUGAAUAUAAUGUAUACAGGUGAUAAACUUUAAACAUUUGGUUAUAUAUAUAGAAGGUAAUAUUGAUUAAAAGAUAGAUUUUUUUUUCUUUUGUGGAAGGUGUCUCUUCAAGAGAUACAUUCGGCAUAAAUUCGAAAUUUUCCACUAUGUGUGGAAAUUGUAGUAAGUGUCUCUUGAAGAGACACUUACAGUAUAAACCUAAUUUUUAAAAAAUUAUGGAAGGUGUCUAUUCAAGAGACACCUUUAGUAUAAUUCCAUUUUUUUGGAAAUGUGGAAGGUAUCUCUUGAAGAGACACCUUCAGUAUAAAUUCGAAAUUUUCCCUAUGUAUGGAAAUUGUGAAAAGAGUCUCUUGAAAAGACGCUUUCAAUAUAAACCCAAUUUUUUUAAAAUUAUGGAAGGUGUCUCUUCAAGAAACACCUUUAGCAUAAAUUCAAAAUUUUCAACUAUGUAUGGAAAUUGUAGAAAAGAGACACUUUCAAUAUAAACCCAAUUUUUUUAAAAUUAUGGAAGAUGUCUCUUCAAAAGACUUCUUUAGUAUAAAUCCAUUUUUUAGGGAAUUAUUUCGAAAAUUUCAACUAUGUAUGGAAAUUGUGGAAAGUGUCUCUUGAAGAAACACUUUCAGUAUAAACCCAAUAUUUUUUUUUUUUAAAUUAUGGAUUUAGUAUAAAUCCAAUUUUUUGGGGAUUGUAGGUGUCUUUCAAAAGACAUCUUUAAUAUAAAAUCAAUACAAGUUAAAAUUUGUGAAAUUGUGGAAUCAAAAGGCACUUUUAGUAUAUAUUGGAAUUUAUGGAAUUGUGGAAAGUGUCUCUUGAAGAAACACCUUUAGAAUAAAUCCAAUUUUGUGGGAAUGGUAGAAGGUGUCUUUUGAAAAUACACCUUCAAUAUAAAAUCAAAUUUAAGAGACACAUAGUAGUAUAAAUUAAAAUUUAUGAAAUUAUGGAAGAGACACCUUCAAUAUAAAUCCAAUUUUUUGGGAAUAGUAUAAUGUUUCUUUUUAAGAGACUCAUUUAGUAUAUAUUAGAUUUUGUGGAAUUGUAGAAGGUGUCACUUGAAGACAUGCUUUCAGUAUAAAUCCAAUUUUUUUUGAAUUGUAAAAUGUAUCUUUUGAAGAUUCAAUAUAAAAUCAAAUUUAAGAGACACAUGAUAUAAAUUAAAAUUUGUGAAAUAGUGAAAAGUGUCUCUUGAAAAAACACUUUUAGUAUAUAUUGAAAUUUAUAGAAUUGUGGAAAGUGUCUCUUCAAGACACACCUUUAGUAUAAAUUCAAAUUUUUUGGAAUCGUAAAAGGUGUCUCCAAACACCUUUAAUACAUAUUGGAUUUUGUGGAAUUGUGGAAAGUGUAUUUUCAAGAGACACCUAAAAUUCAAUUUUCUAAAAUUAUAGAAGUCAAGAGAUACAUUUAGGUUAAAUUCAAUUCUUUUAAAUAUGUAUCAUGAUUUUGAAAAUUUUGGAAGGUGUUUCUUCAAAAGACACCUUCCACGUGGCAAAAAACUGUCGUAGAUCUAUCAAUAUUUUUUCAACUACCAUUUUUUAAAAUUGCUGCAAAAGUUAAAAAAGCCCGUAUAGAAGUAGUGUUAUUAAGUAUCAAACUUUAAAGUAAACAAUUCUAAAAGCAUUUUUUAAAUAUUUUAUGGGAUACUAUUUUUUAAAAAUAAUAUUAAUUAAAUAAAAAAUCCUAACACUAAAACCCAAUACAUGUAUGUAUAGGCAUCCGUUGCCAAGCUGAUUUUUUAAGGAAAGGAAUUGAAUAUUAAGGAGAAUUGUGUUUUGGAGUCAAUUGAGCCCAAAAAUUAAGACUUGACCCAUGAAAGUUACAUAAUUGAUGAGAAUGAUAUAAAAUAUGAAAAGACUAAUAUACCCUUCAAAACUAUUUUAAGUAUUUUCUACCACAAUGUUUGACAAAUUUUUUUAUUUUAAUUUUUUUAAUAAUUAUUCUAAAAAUUUAUUAUUUUUAGAAACUAAUUUUUUUUAAAAAUAUAAUUCUAAAAACAUAUCAUUUUAAAAAAAUAAUUUUGACAUAUUUUUAGUUAUUUUUUACCUACAUAAUUUUAAAUAUAUAUAUUUUUCAAGAUGUUUGAUUUUUAAAUAAUAAUAAUAAUAAUAAUAAUAAUAAUUUAUUUUUAGUUUUUUUUAAAAGGGGCAUUUUUUUUCCAAAUCACUGAAUUAAAUUAAAAUUUAUUGAGGUUUACAAAAGAAAUAAAAUUUAAAUUAAUAUUUUUCUACUUUUUUUUCAUCUUCAAUAAAUGUUAUUUUUGGAAAAAUAAAAAAUCUAUAUCCUUCAUCUCAAUUUCCAUACUUCUUUUUAGUCUUGGGCUUAAAUAGUGAAUUUAUAUGGACUAAAACUUAAUUUUUAAACUCAAUUAGGUCUAAAACACAAUUAUACCUAAAUAUUAAUUCUCAUAUGGUCUCUCUCUCCUCCUCUCUCUCUCAUAUUCUUUGAAGAAUCUAUAAUCUAUAGAGUUGACUUUUUUAAUGCCCAUGAGCAGCUGAUUUUUGAAGGAAAGUGAUUGAAUAUUAAUGGUUGUGAGACCCAUUCUCAUAUGUUCUCUCUUCCUCUCCCCCUUUCUCUCUCAUAUUCUAUGAUAGAAUCCAUAGUCAAUAGGGUUGAUUUUUUUUUUUUUAAUGCCCAAGAGCAGCUGAUUUUUGAAGGAAAGUGAUUGAAUAUUAAGUUGUGAGACCCACUCUCAUAUGUUCUCUCUAUCUCCCCCUCUCUCUCAUAUUGUAUUAUAGAAUCUAUAAUCUAUAGGGUUGAUUUUUCUUUUUUUAACGCCCAUGAGCAGCUGAUUUUUGAAGGAAGGUGGUUGAAUCUUAAUGGGUUGUGAGACCCAUUAAUAUAGAGAGGAACUCAAAAUCCUAAUAAAAAUGUAUUUCAAUUAAUAAUGGAUUUUUAAUUCAUAUGCUCAUUUUUAAUAAUUAAUUCAAAUAAAAUAACAAAUUAAAAGUAAAAUUGAUUUUUUAAUUUCAUUUUUUAUUUCAAUGUCUCAAAUAUAUACAAAAAAUAUGAUGAUUAUUUUCAAGGUUUAUAAAACAAUUCUACAAAAAUAGAUUUUUAAAAAAUAUUUAAAAAUAAGGUGUUUGAUAAAUCAACUUAAUUACUUAAUUUAAAUAAUUAAAUAAAUUAGAUAUAUUUUUUAAAAUAAUUUAAUAUUAAAAUUAUUUUUAAUUUUUAAUAUUAAAUUAAACUAAUUAAUUUAUAUUUUAUUUCAAAACCUUUUUACCUCAUUUUCCCAUACCAAUGCAAAAUAAUUAACAUAUAUACCAAACCUUGGCUCACGAGUUUCAAUGGUAAAAUGACAAUUUUAUCCAGUAGGAUGAAGGGUUUUGGCCCACCACAAUAAACCUUAGGGCCUGCCUACUUUGUUGGCGGCUGCCACCGUGGAGCCAGACACUUUUGUUAGGCGGGGCAUCAAGAGAAUUAUUAAUAUAUUAUAGUUAAGGUAAUUAAUGAUAUUUAUUAUUAUUAAAAUUAAAUAAUUUUAAAUAUUAAUUGUUAAAAUGUAUCAAAUUAAACAACCAAUAUUUUUUUAAAUAAAUUAGAUUUUAUAAAAACAUUAUCAAGAAGAUUUAAAAGGAAAUUUCAAAAUAAAUAAAAACUAGAAAAAAAAAUAUUAGAAAUUUUGAAUAAUUUUAAUUAUUUUGUAGUAAAAAACCAUAAAAUUUAUUUUAAAGAAUUCAAUCAUUUAUAUUAUAAGUUUUGAUAUUUUUCAUGAAAAAUUGUGCUCCGAGGAUUAAAAUUUUUAUAGAUAUCAAAAUUAAUAUCUUAAUUUUUUUUCAAAUAACUAAAUAUAAGAUAGUUGAAAUGAAAUCUUUUACUUAAAACUUAUGUUUUAUAUAAUACGUCAUUACGAAGCAUGUUAAAAGUUUUAUUUUUUAUGAUUUAGUUAAGUCUAAUAAAAAACAAGUAUAAAAAUGAAAAAUUUUGAAUAAACAAAAAGAAAGAAAUACCAACAUUAAAAGCGAUUUUUUUUAAUUUUAGUUCAAUUUUAAUAUUUGAUUAGUAAUUAAUAAUCAAUAUUAUUUUUUUGAUAAUAAUAUUUAGUUGUCAUUGUUUUAAAUUUUAUAUUUAUAUUUUUUUAGAGGGGAUAAAUUUUCUAUUUUGGUUUUUAUUUUCCUAAAAAAAUUUAACAUAUAAAAUUGACGGUGUGGGGUACACGUGGCCCCCAUGAGCCUGACUUGAAUGGCAAGCAGGACUCAUUUUCUAGAAAAAAAAAAUUGUUUCUAGAAAAUUGAGGGUUGGGGAAUGGGGACGGGACAUGUGACCCCCCUGAGCCUUACUUGGGUGGCGGCAGGGCGCGUUUUCUAGAAAAAGUUACGUCCAACUAGUCCGGGGUCUUUCCAACUUUUCCUUCUUUCCAUUCAAAAAAGGCAUACUAUCACAAGUCGAUAAGACAUACAAAUUACCCAAAACCACCAAUUGCCCAAGGCACCAAAACAAGUAAUCUGGAGGGGCAUUUUGGUCAUUAUCUUUAGAAAAUUUCCCCAUUGUGACGUGUCUUCGAGCGGUUGGCAACUAGGACUUGGUCUUUGCGCAGUUGGUAACUAUGACGCCUUGGAAAUUGGAAAAAUAUUAUUCUACGGAAAAUGAAACAUUCAAUAUAUGUAUAUAUAGCCUAGGUGUUCUGAGCAAAUGUAGAUAACUCAGGUUUUGUGAGCAAAGGCACAUCAUAACUCAAGUUUUGUGAGCAAAGGGUGUGCACAGUAGCCAUGGCUAAAGCUCUCCUCAUUUCACCUUCUUACUUCAUCUUCCUCGUCUUCCUCAUUUUCUCCUAUGCCACAAUCCCAGUUUUCGGAGAAGAAUACAGUUAUGUCAAAACUAUCGAUCUUGAGAAAAUGAAUCUGCCGAAGGAAAAGGUAACACACUUUCAACUUUAUUGGCAAGAUGUUGUUAGUGGGUCUAAUGCAACCUCAGUUACAGUGAUUGAAGCACUGAAUAACUCAACAUUUUUUGGUUCGGUAAAUAUAAUUGAUAACUCGUUGACCGUUGGGCCAAAUUUGAGCUCAAAAACAGUUGGAAAAUCCCAAGGGUUAUACGCAUCUACAGGACUAGAAGAAUCUUCAUUAUUGAUGGUUAU
This 8068-nucleotide long non-coding RNA is filed under the name Vitis vinifera (wine grape). RNAcentral's name for it is "long non-coding RNA (VVIN_LNC001660)". The record is from RNAcentral. Lineage: Eukaryota; Viridiplantae; Streptophyta; Magnoliopsida; Vitales; Vitaceae.